This 831-nucleotide unclassified non-coding RNA is filed under the name Aspergillus amoenus. RNAcentral's name for it is "sequence contains ITS1, 5.8S rRNA gene, ITS2". The stretch from base 470 to 831 matches the Rfam family "Eukaryotic large subunit ribosomal RNA", at positions 1 to 359 of the family's 3401-position model. The record is from RNAcentral. Lineage: Eukaryota; Fungi; Ascomycota; Eurotiomycetes; Eurotiales; Aspergillaceae.
CUGCCUCCGGGCGCCCAACCUCCCACCCGUGACUACCUAACACUGUUGCUUCGGCGGGGAGCCCUCUCGGGGGCGAGCCGCCGGGGACUACUGAACUUCAUGCCUGAGAGUGAUGCAGUCUGAGUCUGAAUAUAAAAUCAGUCAAAACUUUCAACAAUGGAUCUCUUGGUUCCGGCAUCGAUGAAGAACGCAGCGAACUGCGAUAAGUAAUGUGAAUUGCAGAAUUCAGUGAAUCAUCGAGUCUUUGAACGCACAUUGCGCCCCCUGGCAUUCCGGGGGGCAUGCCUGUCCGAGCGUCAUUGCUGCCCAUCAAGCCCGGCUUGUGUGUUGGGUCGUCGUCCCCCCCGGGGGACGGGCCCGAAAGGCAGCGGCGGCACCGUGUCCGGUCCUCGAGCGUAUGGGGCUUUGUCACCCGCUCGAUUUAGGGCCGGCCGGGCGCCAGCCGACGUCCAACCAUUUUUCUUCAGGUUGACCUCGGAUCAGGUAGGGAUACCCGCUGAACUUAAGCAUAUCAAUAAGCGGAGGAAAAGAAACCAACCGGGAUUGCCCCAGUAACGGCGAGUGAAGCGGCAAGAGCUCAAAUUUGAAAUCUGGCCCCUCCGGGGUCCGAGUUGUAAUUUGCAGAGGAUGCUUCGGGUGCGGCCCCUGUCUAAGUGCCCUGGAACGGGCCGUCAGAGAGGGUGAGAAUCCCGUCUUGGGCAGGGUGCCCGUGCCCGUGUGAAGCUCCUUCGACGAGUCGAGUUGUUUGGGAAUGCAGCUCUAAAUGGGUGGUAAAUUUCAUCUAAAGCUAAAUACCGGCCGGAGACCGAUAGCGCACAAGUAGAGUGAUCG